ACCCAUUGCUGCCGAGGCUAACCGCUGCCGCUGCCGCUGCUGCUUAGAGCGGUUCCAGCCUCCUUCGCCGCUGCCGCCACGGGCGCCACUCUUCCAGCUGCCGCCGCCGAGCUGUUGCGAGCGAGUCGGGCUCCUCCGGUGGGGUUUACCCCUUCCCCGCCUGCUCCUUCCCCCUGCCUGCGAGUCAGCCUGGCUCAGAAUCACGUGGCAAUUGCCUGAGGCAGAGACUAAAGAGGGGGAAAAAAAAGCGCUUCAUUCCUUCUUCCACCGCCAUACUGUAUUUUAUAGUAACUCGCGUUUUUAUUCCUCCCUUUUACUCCCGCUCGAUGGCAGUGGAAGGUUUUCCUGGAGAAUGAAGUGCCGUUUGGUUUCCUUGUCAACCGAAGAUGAAGUGAACAACUGAACAUCUCCCCAGCGCAGGCAUCAGUUCCAGUUUAUACCAGUUAACAGACUCUGUGACCUGAGGUGUUUA
Non-coding RNA from Python bivittatus (Burmese python), 472 nucleotides. The record is from RefSeq and is a predicted model, not a curated record. Lineage: Eukaryota; Metazoa; Chordata; Lepidosauria; Squamata; Pythonidae.